CAGGGGCCGGCGCCCCGCUCCGCUCCCCCCAGGCCUCAACCCCGCUGGCUACCCGCGCUGAAACCUCACCUGCCGCCGGCUGCAAACGGACUGCGCUCCAGGUCCCAGUGUCUUCUUUGUCCAGUGGAGUUAACAGCGUGGAUCUCAUGGGAUUGUGACCACGUGAAGUUCUGCUCAAGAAGAGAUUCUGACAUAUUGUUGGACCAAACACCAAGGUUAUGUCACUUUUGUGCCUUGGCCCUGACCUCAGAAGGCAUUGCGACAUACUGUUGGGUUAAUCACCAAGGUGAUGUGGGACUUCUGCCUGGACCCUGCCCACACUGGGCAUUGUGACAUUUAGGGCCCAUCAACUAUCUGGCAUGGCCCUCCUCUCUUAUCUGACCGUUGCCUAUAGGAGAGAUUGUAACACAUCUCUGGAUUUAGAAUGUAGAUGAUGUGACUCUUCUCUCCUGACUGGGCCAUGGCCAGAGAAGGGAGAGUGACUUACCACUGGAUCCAGCACACAGGUUAUAUGAUUCUUCUUUGUGAUCUCUGCACAAAGGGGUCAUUGUGAGAUAUCUCAGGGUUUAUCACCUAGAUGAUGUGAUGCUCCUUUUCUUCCUGGAACCUGUCUACAGUGGGCAUUGUGACAUAUCACUUGGCCCAGCACCUACAUGUUGUGACUCUGAUCUCAUGCCUGGGCCCUGCCCACUGGGGUGAUUGUGACAUAUAAGCUGGGCACAGCCAUGAGGUUAUAUGACACUCCUCUUUUUUUGAGUUCUACUCACAGGGGGCAUUGUGACAUACCUCUGGGCUCCUUACCUAGGUGAUGUGACUCUUUCCAGGGUCCUCCUGUCAGUGGGUAUUGUGCCCAAGAUGUAAUUGUGAUGCAUCACUGGUCCUAGCACCUAACUGAUGUGACUCUCCUCUCCUUCCAAAGCCCUGCAUUUAUUGUUUAUUGUGACAUAUUUUCAAAACCUAGGUUAGGCAACUCUUUUGCAUGCGUCCUGCUAAUAGGGCUAUUAUGACAUAUUUUUUUUUCACCUAGGUGAUGUGACUCUCCCUUUCUGCCUAAACACUGUAAAAAGGGGAGAUCGUGACAUAUCACUGGACCCAGCAUCUAGGUGAUAUGGCUCUCCUUUUUCACCUUGGCUUCUUGUAUUUUGGGUAUUAUGACAUAUCACUGGGUCAAACCAAAGGAGGGGGAGGCUCUUGCCUAGGCCCUGCCCACAGGAGACCUUGAGACAGAUCUCUGCAUCCAUCACUUUGGAAGUGUGACUCUCCUCUUCUGGCUGCUCCAUGCCCGCACAGAAGACUGUGAUAUAUCUCCGGGUUCACCAACCAGGUGGUGUGUCUCCCAUACCUGGGCUUUUCUUGCAGAGAUAAUUGUGACAAAUCGUUGUGCACAGCACCCAAGUCACGUGACUCUCCUCUCAUAUCAAGGCUCUGCCAACUAGGGUAAUUGUGACAUACAGCUGGGCCUAGCCCCUAGGUUCUAUGACUCUUUUGAUGAUUCUGAGCCCUAUCUACAGAGGUCAUUGGGAAAUAUCUCUUGGCCCAUCUACUAGGUAAUGGAACUCACCUGCCUGGGCUCUUUUUUUAGGAGGUAUUGUGACAUAGGGCUGGAUCCAGACCUAGGUAAUGUGACUCUCCUCUACUGCUUGGGCUUUACUCAAGGAGGAAUUGUGAUGGGUCACUGAACCCAGCACCUGGGUUAUGUGUUAUGUGACUUUCCUCUUCUGCCUGGGCCCUGCAUCAAUUGUGUUUUUUUUUUUUUUUUUUUUGAGAUAGUCUCAUUCUGUUGCCCAGGCUGGAGUGCUGUGGUGCCAUCUCAGCUCACUGUAGCCUCCACUGCCCAGGUUCAAGUGAUUCUCCUGACUCAGCCUCCCGAGUAGCUAGGAUUACAGGCGUGAGCCACCACACCCAACUAAUUUUUGUAUUUUUAGUAGAAACGGGGUUUUACCAUGUUGGCCAGGCUGGUCUCAAACUCCUGACCUCGAGUGAUCCACUUACCCCAGCCUCCCAAAGUGCUGGGAUUACAGGCAUGAGCCACUGCACCUGGCCCCCUGCAUAAAUUAUACAUUGUGACUUCACUGGGUACUAACACCUAGUUGUUCUGACUCCUCAGCAUGGGCCCCGCCUACGGGUGUAUUAUGACAUAUCUUUUUGUUCCUCACCUAGGUGACGUGACUCUUUUUUGUGUCUUGACCCUGCCUAAAGGGGUGAUUGUGACAUAUCGCCGAACUCAGCACCUAAGUGAUGUGACUCUCCUGUUUUGCCUGGGCCCUGCACAUAUUUGGCACUGUGACAAAUCUCUGGAACAAAUACCCAGGGCAUGAGAGGCUCCUGCCUGGGACCUGCCCAAAAGGGGCCUUUUGGCAUAUCUCUGCAUCAAUUAACUAGCAGAUAUAACUCUUCUUUUCUGCCUAGGUUCUGCCAAAACAAGUGAUUGCAACAUAUAAUUGGACCAGCAACUAGAUGAUGUGACUCUUCUCUUCUGCCUGAGCCCUGGAUAUACUGUGUAUUAUGACACAUGGCUGAGUCCAACAUCAAGGUGAUGUGACUGACCACUUCUGCCUGGGCCAUGCCGAAAAAAGGAGAUUGUGACAUAUCACUGCAUUCAAUACCUAGAUGAUGGUUUCGCCGUGUUGGCCGGACUGGUCUGCAGCUCCUGACCACGAGUGAUCUGCUAGCCUCGGCCUCCCGAGGUGCCGGGAUUGCAGACGGAGUCUCGCUCACUUAGUGCUCAAUGUUGCCCAGGCUGGAGUGCAGUGGCGUGAUCUCGGCUCGCUACAACCUCCACCUCCCAGCCGCCUGCCUUGGCCUCCCAAAGUGCCGAGAUUGCAGCUUCUGCCUGGCCGCCAUCCCGUCUGGGAAGUGAGGAGCAUCUCUGCCUGGCCGCCCAUCAUCUGGGAUGUGAGGAGCCCCUCUGCCCGGCCACCCAGUCUGGAAAGUUAGGAGUGCCUCUUCCCGGCUGCCAUCCCAUCUGGGAAGUGAGGAGCGUCUCUGCCCGGCCGCCCAUCGUCUGAGAUGUGGGGAGCACCUCUGCCCCGCCGCCCCAUCUGGGAUGUGAGGAGCACCUCUGCCCUGCCACCCGUCUGAGAAGUGAAGAGCCCCUCCGCCCGGCAGCCGCCCCAUCUGGGAAGUGAGGAGCCCCUCCGGCCGGCCGCCACCCCGUCUGGGAGGUGUACCCAACAGCUCAUUGAGAACAGGCCAUGAUGAUGAUGGCGGUUUUGUCGAAUAGAAAAAGGGAGAAAUGUGGGGAAAAGAAAGAGAAAUCAGAUUGUUACGGUGUCUGUGUAGAAAGAAGUAGACAUAGGAGACUCCAUUUUGUUCUGUACUAAGAAAAAUUCUUCUGCCUUGGGAUGCUGUUGAUCUAUGACCUUACCCCCAACCCCGUGCUCUCUGAAACAUGUGCUGUGUCCACUCAGGGUUAAAUGGAUUAAGGGCGGUGCAAGAUGUGCUUUGUUAAACAGAUGCUUGAAGGCAGCAUGCUCCUUGAGAGUCAUCACCACUCCCUAAUCUUAAGUACCCAGGGACACAAACACUGCGGAAGGCCGCAGGGUCCUCUGCCUAGGAAAACCAGAGACCUUUGUUCACUUGUUUAUCUGCUGACCUUCCCUCCACUAUUGUCCUAUGACCCUGCCAAAUCCCCCUCUGCGAGAAACACCCAAGAAUGAUCAAUAAAAA
Molecule: long non-coding RNA, 3669 nt
Filed under: Homo sapiens (human)
Lineage: Eukaryota; Metazoa; Chordata; Mammalia; Primates; Hominidae
Description: non-protein coding lnc-ZNF429-2:1
Source: RNAcentral